CCUACGGGCGGCAGCAGUGAGGAAUAUUGGUCAAUGGGCGGAAGCCUGAACCAGCCAAUUAGCGUGAGGGAUGAAGGUACAGAGUAUCGUAAACCUCUUUUGUCAGGGAACAAAGGCGGGGACGUGUCCCCGGAUGAGUGUACCUGAAGAAAAAGCAUCGGCUAACUCCGUGCCAGCAGCCGCGGUAAUACGGAGGAUGCGAGCGUUAUCCGGAUUUAUUGGGUUUAAAGGGUGCGCAGGCGGUCUGUUAAGUCAGCGGUCAAAGCCCGGGGCUCAACCCCGGCCCGCCGUUGAAACUGGCAGUCUCGAGUUGGAGAGAAGUAUGCGGAAUGCGCGGUGUAGCGGUGAAAUGCAUAGAUAUCGCGCAGAACUCCGAUUGCGAAGGCAGCAUGCCGGCUCCACACUGACGCUGAGGCACGAAAGCGUGGGUAUCGAACAGGAUUAGAUACCCUUGUAGUC
This 459-nucleotide ribosomal RNA is filed under the name uncultured bacterium. RNAcentral describes it as "partial 16S ribosomal RNA". It matches the Rfam family "Bacterial small subunit ribosomal RNA", at positions 338 to 795 of the family's 1533-position model. The record is from RNAcentral.